AAUUUGAGAGGAGCUGUCCUUAGUACGAGAGGACCGGGAUGGACGUACCGCUGGUGCACCAGUUGUUCCGCCAGGAGCAUGGCUGGGUAGCUACGUACGGACGGGAUAAGCGCUGAAAGCAUCUAAGCGUGAAGCCCCCCUCAAGAUGAGAUUUCCCAAGUUAGUAAGACCCCUUGAAGACGACGAGGUAGAUAGGUUGGAGGUGGAAGUGCUGCAAAGCAUGGAGCUGACCAAUACUAAUCGGUCGAGGGCUUAUCCA
Molecule: ribosomal RNA, 259 nt
Filed under: Paenibacillus sophorae
Lineage: Bacteria; Bacillati; Bacillota; Bacilli; Caryophanales; Paenibacillaceae
Description: 23S rRNA. Bacterial LSU
Rfam family: Bacterial large subunit ribosomal RNA
Source: RNAcentral